RNAcentral lists this long non-coding RNA (205 nucleotides) under Mytilus galloprovincialis (Mediterranean mussel). The record is from RNAcentral. Lineage: Eukaryota; Metazoa; Mollusca; Bivalvia; Mytilida; Mytilidae.
UUUUCACUUGCUGAACAUUGGUUUAUUUUACAUGAAUUAAACAUUUUUAUACGUUUUGAAAUUAAUUUUAUGUUUUUGUUGGAUUUGAACUUUGUCUUGUAUAUUUUUUUACUUGUCCACGGGCAACCAAGACAAAAAUAAUUACUUGUCCGGUUGUUCAAAUGUACGAGUCGGGCAAGUCGGGCAUAGCAUUUCCACACCCCUG